This 402-nucleotide ribosomal RNA is filed under the name bacterium. RNAcentral's name for it is "partial 16S ribosomal RNA". It matches the Rfam family "Bacterial small subunit ribosomal RNA", at positions 355 to 776 of the family's 1533-position model. The record is from RNAcentral.
UGGGGAAUUUUGCACAAUGGGGGAAACCCUGAUGCAGCGACGCCGCGUGAUUUAGAAGGCCUUCGGGUUGUAAAAAUCUUUUUUACGGGAUGAAAAUGACAGUACCGUAAGAAUAAGGUCCGGCUAAAUACGUGCCAGCAGCCGCGGUAAUACGUAUGGACCGAGCGUUGUCCGGAAUCAUUGGGCGUAAAGGGUACGUAGGCGGCCUAGUAAGUUAGAAGUGAAAUAAUAUAGCUCAACUAUAUAAAGCUUUUAAAACUGCUAGGCUUGAGAGAUGGAAGGGAAGGUGGAAUUCCUAGUGUAGCGGUGAAAUGCGCAGAUAUUAGGAAGAAUACCGGUGGCGAAGGCGACUUUCUGGUCAUCAUCUGACGCUGAGGUACGAAAGCGUGGGUAGCAAACAGG